Molecule: ribosomal RNA, 235 nt
Filed under: uncultured bacterium
Lineage: Bacteria
Description: partial 16S ribosomal RNA
Rfam family: Bacterial small subunit ribosomal RNA
Source: RNAcentral
UGGCGGACGGGUGAGUAAUGUCUGGGAAACUGCCCGAUGGAGGGGGAUAACUACUGGAAACGGUAGCUAAUACCGUAUAACGUCGCAAGACCAAAGAGGGGGACCUUCGGGCCUCUUGCCAUCGGAUGUGCCCAGAUGGGAUUAGCUAGUAGGUGGGGUAACGGCUCACCUAGGCGACGAUCCCUAGCUGGUCUGAGAGGAUGACCAGCCACACUGGAACUGAGACACGGUCCAG